This 497-nucleotide ribosomal RNA is filed under the name uncultured bacterium. Its description in RNAcentral is "partial 16S ribosomal RNA". It matches the Rfam family "Bacterial small subunit ribosomal RNA", at positions 28 to 507 of the family's 1533-position model. The record is from RNAcentral.
GAUGAACGCUGGCGGCGUGCCUAAUACAUGCAAGUCGAGCGAACAGACGAGGAGCUUGCUCCUCUGACGUUAGCGGCGGACGGGUGAGUAACACGUGGAUAACCUACCUAUAAGACUGGGAUAACUUCGGGAAACCGGAGCUAAUACCGGAUAAUAUAUUGAACCGCAUGGUUCAAUAGUGAAAGACGGUUUUGCUGUCACUUAUAGAUGGAUUCGCGCCGCAUUAGCUAGUUGGUAAGGUAACGGCUUACCAAGGCAACGAUGCGUAGCCGACCUGAGAGGGUGAUCGGCCACACUGGAACUGAGACACGGUCCAGACUCCUACGGGAGGCAGCAGUAGGGAAUCUUCCGCAAUGGGCGAAAGCCUGACGGAGCAACGCCGCGUGAGUGAUGAAGGUCUUCGGAUCGUAAAACUCUGUUAUUAGGGAAGAACAAAUGUGUAAGUAACUAUGCACGUCUUGACGGUACCUAAUCAGAAAGCCACGGCUAACUACGUG